GAUGAACGCUGGCGGCGUGCCUAAUACAUGCAAGUCGAGCGAACAGACGAGGAGCUUGCUCCUCUGACGUUAGCGGCGGACGGGUGAGUAACACGUGGAUAACCUACCUAUAAGACUGGGAUAACCUCGGGAAACCGGAGCUAAUACCGGAUAAUAUAUUGAACCGCAUGGUUCAAUAGUGAAAGACGGUUUUGCUGUCACUUAUAGAUGGAUGCGCGCCGCAUUAGCUAGUUGGUAAGGUAACGGCUUACCAAGGCAACGAUGCGUAGCCGACCUGAGAGGGUGAUCGGCCACACUGGAACUGAGACACGGUCCAGACUCCUACGGGAGGCAGCAGUAGGGAAUCUUCCGCAAUGGGCGAAAGCCUGACGGAGCAACGCCGCGUGAGUGAUGAAGGUCUUCGGAUCGUAAAACUCUGUUAUUAGGGAAGAACAAAUGUGUAAGUAACUAUGCACGUCUUGACGGUACCUAAUCAGAAAGCCACGGCUAACUACGUG
RNAcentral lists this ribosomal RNA (497 nucleotides) under uncultured bacterium. RNAcentral describes it as "partial 16S ribosomal RNA". It matches the Rfam family "Bacterial small subunit ribosomal RNA", at positions 28 to 507 of the family's 1533-position model. The record is from RNAcentral.